Molecule: ribosomal RNA, 440 nt
Filed under: uncultured bacterium
Lineage: Bacteria
Description: partial 16S ribosomal RNA
Rfam family: Bacterial small subunit ribosomal RNA
Source: RNAcentral
CCUACGGGUGGCAGCAGUAGGGAAUAUUGCUCAAUGGGGGAAAGCCUGAAGCAGCAACGUCGCGUGGAGGAUGAAGGUUUUCGGAGUGUAAAAUCCUUUUGUUAGAGAAGAAAAUGACGGUAUCUAACGAAUAAGCAACGGCUAACUCCGUGCAAGAAGCCGCGGUAAUACGGAGGGUGCAAGCGUUACUCGGAAGCACUGGGCGUAAAGAGCGCGUAGGCGGGAUAGCAAGUCAGAUGUGAAAUCCUAUGGCUUAACCAUAGAACUGCAUUUGAAACUGUUAUUCUAGAGUAUGGGAGAGGUAGGUGGAAUUCUUGGUGUAGGGGUGAAAUCCGUAGAGAUCACGAGGAAUACUCAUUGCGAAGGCGGCCUGCUAGAACAUAACUGACGCUGAUGCGCGAAAGCGUGGGGAGCAAACAGGAUUAGAUACCCCUGUAGUC